This is an RNA transcript of Sebastes umbrosus (honeycomb rockfish), 2436 nucleotides long. It is a transcript of the gene named B-cell receptor CD22-like, with no coding region annotated. NCBI's taxonomy places the organism in Eukaryota, Metazoa, Chordata, Actinopteri, Perciformes, Sebastidae. The record is from RefSeq and is a predicted model, not a curated record. The transcript is spliced from 7 exons.
UGCAGUAUUUCAGUCAUUUCAUGUUUGCUUGUAUAUCACAACGGCUUAGCAGGGAAGUCGGGUAGCUACUGGGUCUGUUGCAGUUCUGCUGACAUUCACAAAUUAUCUGAUUUUAAAACUAAUGGUUUCUUCGUUUUAGCUGCUGGCUCCUUUGGUGAUGAGUGUCAUUUCAGUCCAGUCUGUGAAAAUGGUGACAGCCAUCGUGUUACUGAGCGUCUUCUUAGUUUCAGGUGCUUUGGCUUUUUGUCAGGAUGUAGCCCUGUUCAUUACUGCACCAAAGGAGAUGGAAGCACUGAGUGGAUCUUGUCUGAAAAUCCCAUGUAACUUUAGUUUUAACAAAAGCGCUCAACAGACAUUUGACGGUACAAGAACAACCUUCGGAGUGUGGAUUAAAAAUAACCAAUAUUUUGCCAACAAACCACAUAAUGUGAUUUUCAACAGCAGCUGGAAGAAUAAUAAGUUCCCAAUGAGUCUUACUGGAGAUCUGAGUCAGAAAAACUGCACCACUUUAUUUUCCAGUGUAAACACAAGUUACACAGACAAGUACUACUUCAGAAUUGAGAACCGACCAUUUGUGGUAACAGCUUCUUGUGAUCCUCUUCAAAUAACAGUCAAAGAUUCUCCUCCGAGGCCCAGCAUUGAGAUCUCAGGUGAUCUGAAGGAGAAGCAGUCGGUCACUAUAACCUGCUCAGCUUUCACUCCCUGUCCACACUCCCCUCCUGAACUCACCUGGACUCUCCAACAAGACCCUCACAACAAAAUAGAGGAAAACACAGAUCGAACCUUCACAACUAAAAUCCAGACAACCUUCACUCUGUCAGACGAACAUGAUGGAUUCAUCAUCACCUGUUCAGCCAGAUAUCCUGUAAAUGAAGGAAAAGACGUCAAGACAGCAGAGGAGAGAACGACGCUCAAAGUUUCAUAUGCUCCCAAGAACACCUCAGUGUCCAUCAGUCCGCCAGGUUUGGUGUCAGUAGGUAGCCUGGUGAACCUGACCUGCUCCAGCAGAGCCAAGCCUCCUGUCAUCCGCUUCACCUGGUUCAAGACCAGCAAAGACGGACCUGUCAGUGUAUCUGAAGGAGACUUUUACAGCUUUAAUGUCACUGAUGGAGAAGUUUAUUUCUGCGUGGCCACAAAUGAGCUUGGUAAUGGAACAUCACCAGAGAUCCAUCUGAAUAUGAAAGGUAAAAAGUGGGACUUACGCGAUGCUGCAUCAAUAUUGUUGCACGUCAACAUUCAACACUUUUUUAGUCACUUAUAUUGGCUUUGUUUUCUUGUCUUGACGUGAAGUUGGCUCUCUAGAAUUGGGGCCGUUUAUUGGAGGAAUCGUUGGGUUCAUCGCACUCAUCUGCCUGAUUGUAUGUGUUUGGCGUUUGAAGUCAACAUAUGCAACUGCACAACAGACUCAGAGUCAAAUGGGUGAAGAGGCGGCUGCUGAAGAGCCAGCAAGUAAAACAGAAGAAGAAAUCAUCCAUUAUGGAGAGAUCGACUUCUCCACGAGACCUGAACUGGCCUCGGUGCAGGACGGUGGACAGCAGCAGCAUACGCUGUACGCACAGGUCAAAGUGUCCCAGACAGCCAGCAUCUUAAAACAGACCGCCGACGGCCCAGAGGAUCUCUACGCUCAAGUGAAGAGAAACUGAGUGCUCUUGUUAAAAGACAAAAAAUACAUUUGUGUAGAAUUCAUAUUUAAUGUGCCUUAAUGUUGUCUUUGCUGCCUACAGUUCAAUGGAGAGGAAUUUAAAACAUCCACAUCCUGCAGAUUUUCAAUGUCAGUUAUCAACAUAUUCUCCCAAUCCUAGAUUAUGGUGACUUAAUCUACAGACUCGCCUCCAAAAAUCAUCUCAAUAAACUGGACGUCAUCUACCAUACUGCCAUUCGCUUUGUCACCAGUGUCCCUUUCAACACUCAUCACUGUAACCUGUAUUCUCUAUAGUCAACUGGCCAUCCCUCCAUAGCAGGCGUCAGACCAGAAGACUAUCAUUUGCAAAACCCCUCCAUAUCUCCGCUCACUACUCAAUAUCUACAACAGGAACUGCAAUUUACGUUCUAGCAAAUUCUUCAGUAUGGUCAUUCCUCCUUUGGUCGUCACUCAUUCCAGUUUGCUGCUCCUAGUGACUGGAAUGAGUUGCAAAAGAUGCUAAAACUCCACACCCUUAUUCUGUUACCCUCCUUUAAUGACUCAUUACAAGCGAUAGUUUCUGAUCACUGCACCUGCUUCUGAAUUUGCCUCUCUGGAACACAGCACAUAUAUAUAUAUAUAUAUAUAUGUAUAUAUAUAUAUAUAUAUAUAUAUAUUGUUGUAUAUACUGUAUUUAUUGUGAUGUUUUAAUUUUGUCUGUUUUAUUGCACUAGUCGUAUUUAUGUUCUAUGUUCUAAUGCAGGGGUCUCCAACAAGUAGCUCGCAAGCUACCCGUUUCUGAGUGGCUCGCUAAC